AGGACGGAAUGUUCUUUACUUGAGCUGUCCAAUGUGGCAACUACAAGCCACAGCCAUGUGUGUACAAGGAUACUUGAAAUGUGAUAGUGUGACUCAGGAAUUGACUUCAUAAUUUUAUUUCAUCUUAAUUAAUUUAAGUGUGAAUUUUAAAAGCCACAUGUAGCGAGUGGCUACCAUGUUGGACAGUACAGCUCUAGAACGCAGAACCCUGCUAGAUGCAUCUCGAAAUAUCACCGAGGCCAGUAACCAGCGGGCCCGGUUUGCCUCAGCUCUCGGCGUGAAGGUCUCGCAGAUGUCAGCUGCCUGGACAUCCACAUGAAGCAGGCUGCCCCUCGGGAAAGAGAACACAUGGGUUCAGAGAGCUGAGAGACCAAGGCCCGGAGAGGUGACCAGUACUGUCCUUGGCCUCUUUGCCCAGGACACUGACCCACUGAGCCCACAGAUGGGGCAGGAACACGUGUGCAAGCGAGAAGAACAAGAGCCAUCUGGCCGAGCUCCUGCGAGCUAUGAGGCCUGAAAUGACAGCACCGAGGUCUGGAAAUCACCUCACCCAGUCUCCUAAUUGCACAGAUGAGGAAUCCACCGGCCUUGCCAAAGAUUACAAAGCUGAUGGAAAAUUAAGAACACUUCCAAUUCAAAGUUCGAAGCACAAAAUCCAGGAGUGGCGUCUGACAAGGCUCAUCACCUGCUCCACCUCUUCUCAUCUGGCUUCCAGGAGACGACACUGGUGGUUUUCCUCCUUCCUCAGCGGUUGCUCCUCUGCAGCCAGCUUUGCUGACUCCUUGCUUCCCUCCCAG
Molecule: long non-coding RNA, 797 nt
Filed under: Equus caballus (horse)
Lineage: Eukaryota; Metazoa; Chordata; Mammalia; Perissodactyla; Equidae
Description: lncRNA (ENSECAG00000059746.1)
Source: RNAcentral